CAGGAGGCAGAUUAGUUGAGUGCAGAAAGACCAAGGGGCUUAAUCUGAUAGUUGACCUCAGCCCUGCAUCCCCCAAAAAAGUCAUAUAAGUGCCUGUUCAAAUAUCGACAUCUGUCUCCCUUCAGUAUCCAAACAGCGCUUUUCAGAAGCGUUUAAACUCCUGAAAGUCUAUAAAAACCACAUAUGUGUAGACGUGAACUGAGCUGCUCCCCAUGCUUCCAGUCUCUGAGUGGCCUAUGUCCGAUGCCUUCUCUCUUCCCAACAUCUCUGUCCCAUGCAAGCUGCUGAGGAACACACGGGUGCCUUUCUUCUCCAUCUCCCAACUUUUCUUUUUUCUUUUUUUAAACAAUUGUUCUUAACUACUCAAGAAGCAAUGCAAGCCUCUUCCACCAUUUCAGGCCCUGCUUCCUAAAAUGCUCUUUGGCUCAAGGCCUUGGUUCUUAAUGUACAUUUGGCCUUGACUGGGGGAGUGGUUUCUGCUUCCCUUUUAACAGCGCUGCUGUUUUUCUGUGGAGUAUCUGCAUCAAUGUUAAAGUGUCAGGACACUUUUGGACACUUUGGAAGAGGCCCAUGGAUUUCAGUGUGUGCGGCAGGAGGUUGGUGUCACUACUCAAGCGACUGCUUUUAAAUGCCAUCUCCGUCCUAACAGAAUCUUGAAUAGUGUUGAGACGGGCAUUGAUGAAGACUUUCAAUCUGUGUACCUGGCUACAUGAAUGCGUGUUACCUGGACCCCUGUUGGUUCGUUUUUCAUAAGAUAGUAUUUUGCCCACUUUAAAAAUGUUGUUCAAGUAAAGAAUGGCAGAAAUGACAGUAAUAGGGUCCCCUCAGCCCUGCACACCCUUUUUUAAUGGAGGAAGUCGAAGCUGGUUUUUCCAACAGAUAGGAAAUCCAGAAGUAUAUUUGGGGAAAGCAGAGAACUUUUACACCUUUUGAAAAGGGACUGUCAAUGUGUUUUGCCCUUCCUGGUGAAACUAUAAAAAUGAUCCAGACAGUGGAAAAAUCGGGUGACAGAGGAAACCCUGGUGCAGACUCCCAGAUGUCUAACUGGAGGGAGGUGUGGUCUUCCUCAUUGGUUGAAGGUAGGAAAUAAUUACAAAAUAAAACAGGGCAGGGUCUGGCUGAGGACCAGAGUGCUGCUUGUAAAUCCCCUUCAAGUGAGGACUCACAGUGAAUGGGAGAAGCAAAGGUGAAUCAAAAAAGCCCACUCUUUGGAAAGGCGGCCUCUGCUCUUUCCUCUGCUAUGGGCCUUACACCCUCUGCUGAGGCCAUUGGUGGGAGACUCGAGCUAUGUGACUUUGGACCAGUAAUUUAACCUCUCUGGGCCUCACUUCUUUCAUCUGUAAAAUGGGCAUAAUGCAUACCUUACAUUCAUAGUGGGAAGUAAAUGAAAUAGGAAUCAGGGCUUCACGGCACUUCGCAUACUGAAAAGCCUCUCCAGAUAUUAGCUGCCAUCUCCACGCUCUUUUCAUUUCUUUCUUUGCCACUGAUGGCCUCUGCUACCUUUCGUUUCUUACCACCUUGCAAGAAAUAAACUAAAAGGUCCAGCAAUUCUUCUGUUCUUCCCCAUGGGGUGGAAAUAGAGCCAACUCCUUUUGACAUCUUUGCAACCGUAUUCGGAAGUGAAAGAGUCGGAAAUAGAUAGUGUCCCCCAUCUGCCCCAGCCCUCCCCAUCGGUCCCCCUCCCCAGGCUGGCAGGCGGCCCUCCAAGUGAGCAGCCUACUCAAUGACCCACCUAGAGAGGCCUUCCCGGGCUGGCUUGUAUAUGCUAAUAGGCCUGACUUGUCCUGGCUUGUUUGUAGUGAUUUGUGGAGGCAUUUAUAUGCAAAUACUAUCAACUUGCAGAGUUAAUUAUCAUGUGCCUCCCCUCUACCCCCUCCUGCUCGGCCUCCCAGCCUGGCUGGGCUGUUCUCAUUCAGCACCACGCUCUUCCUGUCUUGGCCUCGCCUGCCGGUUGCCCUGGCCUCUUCCUGUACCUGCAGGCCCCAUCACAGCUCCUGUGCUGCUCCAUUGCCUGUCACAGGAACCCAGGCCUAGCCUGUGUGGUCAGGCAUGGUGAACUGGGCAUGCCGGUGACUCCCCGGGUUCAGACUCUGUUAGAAGCAUACCGUUGCUUGAGGGGGAGCCUGCCUUAUGUUGCUUUGAGUUUUAAGCCCCAUUUUAACCUACUAGCUUGAAAAAUAGAGCUGCCCAGACAUAUCAACCCUUGACACUCAACCCAGUCUGGCGACAAAGCGAUUAUAGUUUUUAAAUUAUUAGUCGUAUUUUCAUUUCCUCACAUUGUUUAUACCCCUCACACUUAUGACCAGUUCUGAGCUCUGGAGAGAAGCCAUUUUGCAGAAGGGUGUCCUCUCCUGCCCCCGGACAUCUGAGUAUUUAAAGUGGGCUUGGGUUGUGCACGGUGGCUCACGCCUGUAAUCCCAGCACUUUGGGAGACUGAGGCAGGAUUGCCUGACCUCAGGAGUUCGAGAUCAGCUUGGGCAACGUGGUGAAACUCCAUCUCUACUAAAAAUAAAAAAAUAAAAAAA
Molecule: long non-coding RNA, 2525 nt
Filed under: Macaca fascicularis (crab-eating macaque)
Lineage: Eukaryota; Metazoa; Chordata; Mammalia; Primates; Cercopithecidae
Description: lncRNA (ENSMFAG00000057428.1)
Source: RNAcentral